Hemicordylus capensis (graceful crag lizard) is the source of this 1032-nucleotide long non-coding RNA. RefSeq lists it as uncharacterized. The transcript has 4 exons. The record is from RefSeq and is a predicted model, not a curated record. Lineage: Eukaryota; Metazoa; Chordata; Lepidosauria; Squamata; Cordylidae.
AGAGAGAGAGAGAGAGAGAGAGAGAGAGAGAGAGAGAGAGAGAGAGAGAGAGAAGCCCCAAAGACCUAGCAGCGUCCAAAGCAGCCAUGUUGCAUGAGGCACAGACCAAGUGGAUUAGGCUGAUGAGACUCUUGGCGAUGGCUAUGGGGGCAGAAACCCACAGUACCAGGCGGUAGAGACCCAGGUGCACCAGCAGGACUGGAAAGAGCAAAGAAAAAGAAGUGGGUGGAAGUGAAGUCAUCUGAUAUGCCCUAGAAUUCCAGCCCCUCACUGAAGAGUCCCUUCAGAUCUCUAUACUCACCUUCUGGUCCUUCGCCAAAGCACAGCAGAUACAGCAUACAAUAAAAGAGUUCGUUACCAGCACACAUAAUGAAGAGUACGGGCUGAAGAAAGAGGAAGACCACAUCAGAUAUAGCAGACCAGGGGGAAAAGGAUAAAGUAGACAAUCUGCACAUGUGUGUGCGCACUUUCAGUGGAUAAUCAAGGAAGGAAGGAACCUACCUUGGUUAAGAGCCCGGGCUGCAUGGCCAUCAAAGGCAUCAAGGAAACCACUAAGCAGUAUAUAAGGACAGUGCAGAAAUGUCCAGGCUGACCCAGGUCGCAGACAGGCGAGUGAUCUGUAGCCUUCAGCUACAGCAACAGCAACACUGCCAGUGAUGAAGACAGCAGCCGCGCAAGUUGACCGGAUGGGACAGUGUUUUGAGGGAGAGGAGAAAAGGGAGCAGAGCCACAGGCGAGCCACAACCCCUUAAGAGCAUAAGCAGCACCCUGUAGGAGCCGAUCAAAGGCCCAGCCAGAUACUUCCAGGAAACCUCAAGGCGGCAUCCAGUGCUCAGCAUCGAAUACUCGGAGAUAUACCGCCUCUGAGCAUGAAACACCCCAUCGGGCAGGGCCACCCCUGGCAAAGCCCCCGCCCCGCCCCAAUCAAGAACCAGGCCUUUUCCUGCCCUGAAGACGUGCGCCUGGUGCCAAUACUGCUCCUUCGCAGACCCUUCCCACCCAGGCGCCCACCCAGCCCAUUACAUACCAAUG